RNAcentral lists this ribosomal RNA (1101 nucleotides) under Triticum aestivum (bread wheat). RNAcentral's name for it is "partial small subunit ribosomal RNA". Lineage: Eukaryota; Viridiplantae; Streptophyta; Magnoliopsida; Poales; Poaceae. The record is from RNAcentral.
AUGCGGGCCAGCCUCGACAUGCGGGUCCCUCCAGGCGGCACGCGGUACGGCGCUCGUCCUGUCACGUAUCAGCGGCGCCAAUCAGGGCGGGCCAGUGCGGACGUGGGACCCGGAGCCGGUCCUGCAGCUGGUCCCGCUGGCACGGAUAAGCCAACCGGCGCGCCGACCCGCUCCACUGCAUCAUCAUUGCGCCAUGAUGAGCGGGCCCCCGCCACGGGAUCUUUUGCACCAGUUUUUGAAGAGGCGUCUCAGCCAGCGACCACAGAAGAUCCGACCGGUUCUGCGCGCGCUGGAGCCGCUGCGACAGCUGCUGCUGGGUCUGCGGCAGGAUCCCCCUCGGGAUCUGUUGCUGAUCUGUCCAGGCAGCCCUUUGGAUCUUCUGCGGCUGCGGAUUCUGCUGCACCAUCAUCACGACGAACACGGCUUCAACAAGGGCUAAUUCAACCUUUAAAUUAUAAACAUGUAACCAAAUACGGUUUGGUCUGUUCUACAGGAGAACCAGAUGAGCCAGCAACCCUUGAUGCAGCACUUCGUGAUGACAAGUGGAAAAAGGCAAUGAAUGAAGAAUACAUGGCGUUAAAGAAAAACAAGACUUGGCACUUGGUUCCCCCACAGCAAGGUAAAAACUUGAUUGAUUGCAAGUGGGUUUUCAGGAUCAAGAGGAGGUCUGAUGGAACUAUUGAUCGCUAUAAGGCUAGACUAGUUGCAAAAGGCUUCAAACAGCGGUAUGGUAUAGACUAUGAAGAUACGUUUAGUCAUGUUGUCAAAGCAGCCACUAUUCGUCUCGUUUUGUCCAUUGCUGUUUCCAGGGGAUGGAGUCUCAGGCAGCUUGAUGUACAGAACGCGUUUCUCCAUGGUGUUCUGGAAGAGGAAGUGUAUAUGAAACAACCUCCUGGGUUUGAAAGUAAGAAAACUCCCUCCUAUGUGUGCAAACUUGAUAAAGCUCUAUAUGAAUUGAAGCAAGCUCCAAGGGCGUGGUACUCACGUCUUUGUCAUAAGAUGCAAACACUUGGAUUAUUCCCUCUAAGUCAGACACAUCAUUGUUCAUUUAUAACAAAUCCAAUACAUGCAUAUUUGUUCUCAUCUAUGUUGAUGAUAUAA